ACAUUGGAAGCACAGUUAGGAAGAAGAAAGUGUACAGCACUGGGACGAACUCCACAUAAUUUAAUGGGCUAAUGAUAAUUUAUAAACUCAGAGGAUAUGAUUCCUAAUCCUGCUCUUACAGUUAACACAGCAUGUGGUGUUUCUGCAUUAAUUUCUCUGGUUAUAAAAUAACUGUAUUCCACAACUCUCAAGGGGAUCCUACAAAAUCAAUUGAAUAACGACAGAUAAGUACUUUGAGCUUCUUAGCGAGAAAACGAAAUCUUAUAAUUGCCUUCUUCAACCACCUUCAUUUUAUUUUAUAGAGUGAACUGGAGUACAUGUAAGAGAUGGAUUAAUUUUAUCUCCCUUCAUUUUUUUCUUGGUAAAUCGUACAAAAAAGGAAUUCUCACAGAUGUGCAGCGUAUAAAGAUUUUGUUCAUAAAUGGUAAACAUAUGAUAUAACUAGCAAUGAAAUCACUUCUGCGACACAUUUAAGAAUUGAGGCAUAACUCUUUAUAAUCAAAACUCAUAUACAUAACAUACAAAAGGAUGCUUUUAUGUUAUAAUCCACUGUUAGAGUCAUUUGUAUGUGUUCUUUUGCUUUUCCAUAACAGAUAAUGGACUUUCACUGAUUCAUGUAUAUUUUUUUGGUCCAGAUUCAACUUUGCUUCCUGGCACAGAUUUUUAAAAAAUACCUGGCUAAAUUGAAAUGUGCUGUCCUUGGGCAAAGAACAGCUCUCUGUGUAGCACUAACAAGCUUAUUGUAUCUGUUAAUGUUAUUUUGGGUACAUGCAAUAGAAAGCAAUGGACCUUGGCCUACUUAAGUACAAAGGAGAUUUAUGAGAAGGUAGCAUGGUACUCAAAGGCAAUGAAAGAGCAGGGUGGCAAAGCUUCUGCAAGGGCAAUGCCAGAACAGCUCCAGGGACAAGGAAUUCCUCGAUGUUAUAACGAGGUAUUGUCAUCAAGUUGCCUCAUCUCUCCCGAGAUUGCAGUGGGUAGCUCUCAGUUUAUGAUCAAAAUUCCCAGGCAGCAUGUGAAUCUGAUUGCCCCAUCUUGAAGGUAGACCAUAAUGGUUUGACUGAGUCAGGUGCGGACGGCAGCAUCAGGAUCUCAUGAAGCUGAAAUCUACUUGUUAGAUUGCAUUCUCAUUCAGAGGAUCAGCGAGGGAAAGAUCGUCUUCCAAGAUCCCUCUGGUUGGAAGGAGAGAGAGUCCUUCUCAUUGGGGACGGCUAGGUUAGUCUUUUAAGGGUUUUCAACUAAUUAAGUCAGGCCCAACCAAAAUGACCUCCUUUUUGAUUAGUUCAAAAUCAACUGACUCGGAACCUACACUGCAUCUGCAAAAUUCUUUCACCUCUGCUAUGUUCUAUUGGCUAGAAGUUUGUCCCAGCCACACUUGAAAGGAGAUGAGUAUAGGGGUGGAGGACAUCAGAGAUAGAGAUCAUAGAUUCCAUCUUAGUAUUUGCCUCUCACAGUAAGUUUAGGUCACGU
RNAcentral lists this long non-coding RNA (1467 nucleotides) under Equus caballus (horse). Its description in RNAcentral is "lncRNA (ENSECAG00000049173.1)". The record is from RNAcentral. Lineage: Eukaryota; Metazoa; Chordata; Mammalia; Perissodactyla; Equidae.